AGAAAAUCAAGUUUUGCUGCCCUAAAAUAUUUCUAUAAGAGAUUCAUUUUCCUCAUUCUAGGGAAAAGGUCUAGGACAAAAGAAGAGAGAAACAGCUGGGUUAAAAAUUCUACAAAAUACACUCCAUAACACAUAGAUUUUCUGGGUUUUUCUCUUUGAAAUCUCGGAUUAGACUUGGUUUCUGGGAAGCAAUUCUUGUUGUACUGUUUUUGUUGAUACUGCUCCACUCAACUUGGCUAGAUAGUUGACUUUCUAACCUUUAUUUGAUCUAUUAAUUGUUGUUUUCUGCUCAUAGUUAUUGAUUCGUUGAUUGCAAGCUUGAGCUAUAUAUGUUCUGUUAAACAAAUUUACGGAAAAGAUACUGCUGGAAAAUAAUGGAAGGAAUCUUGGUGAAGGGUGAUUAUGCAAAGGCUUUAUUAGUUGUUUCUUCACGAGAAGUUUCAAUAGUUUUAAUAGGAAUUCAUUGGUUAAUGUAAUAAUUUAAGUUUAUUUCUUUCUAUCUUAUUAAUGUAUGAGUAUUACUGUAUGAAAUGAGGGUUAUGAAAUUAGUCAGACAUCUCACAUGUUUACUUUACCUUGCUUCAAGUUGAGUAAAAACCUUUUCGCUGA
Long non-coding RNA from Nicotiana tabacum (common tobacco), 609 nucleotides. RefSeq lists it as uncharacterized. The record is from RefSeq and is a predicted model, not a curated record. Lineage: Eukaryota; Viridiplantae; Streptophyta; Magnoliopsida; Solanales; Solanaceae.